GCGAACGCUGGCGGCAGGCCUAACACAUGCAAGUCGAACGGAUCCUUCGGGAUUAGUGGCGGACGGGUGAGUAACACGUGGGAACGUGCCUUUUGGUUCGGAAUAGCUCCUGGAAACGGGUGGUAAUGCCGAAUGUGCCCUUCGGGGGAAAGAUUUAUCGCCAUAUGGAGGGGUCUGCGUCGGAUUAGCUUGUUGGUGGGGUAACGGCCUACCAAGGCGACAAUCCGUAGCUGGUCUGAGAGGAUGAUCAGCCACACUGGGACUGAGACACGGCCCAGACUCCUGCGGGAGGCAGCAGUGGGGAAUAUUGCGCAAUGGGGGAAACCCUGACGCAGCGACGCCGCGUGGGUGAAGAAGGCCUUAGGGUUGUAAAGCCCUUUCAGUGGGAAAGAUUGUGACGGUACCCACAGAAGAAGCUCCGGCUAACUCCGU
This 432-nucleotide ribosomal RNA is filed under the name uncultured bacterium. Its description in RNAcentral is "bacterial SSU rRNA". It matches the Rfam family "Bacterial small subunit ribosomal RNA", at positions 29 to 506 of the family's 1533-position model. The record is from RNAcentral.